GGGGGAGACCUGCUCUGCAAAACAGCACUUAGAUUCCCAUCGGAAUGGUGAAACCAAAGCAGACGACAGUUCAAACAAAGAGGCCGCGGAGGAGAAGCCGGAGGAGGACAACGACUACCACCGCAGCGACGAGCAGAUGGGGUUUCACUAUGUUGGCCCGGCUGGUCUCGAACUCCUGACCUCAAAUGAUCCACCCGCCUCAGCCUCCCAAAGUGCUGGGAUUACAGGUGUAAGCCACUGCACCCGGCUGUUUUCUAAACUCUAGAGUUGAACAUUCCUUUAGUUUCCAGCUUCAUAAUUUGGUUCUUAUUAAAAUAAUUUUAAAAUUUUCAAGUUUUUUUUAACCAGCUUUCUAAAUUGUGUUAAAUGCACAUAAAAUAUGCCAUUUUAACCAUUUUCAGGUGUGUGGUUCAGUGGCCUUGGGUACAGACCCAGUGUUAUACGGCCACCACCACCAUCAUCUCCAGAGCCUUUUUAUCUUCCCAAACUGAAGCUCUGCCCCCAUUAAACACUCACUCCCCACCCCGCUC
Long non-coding RNA from Pongo pygmaeus (Bornean orangutan), 530 nucleotides. RefSeq lists it as uncharacterized. The transcript has 3 exons. The record is from RefSeq and is a predicted model, not a curated record. Lineage: Eukaryota; Metazoa; Chordata; Mammalia; Primates; Hominidae.